RNAcentral lists this ribosomal RNA (433 nucleotides) under uncultured bacterium. RNAcentral describes it as "partial 16S ribosomal RNA". It matches the Rfam family "Bacterial small subunit ribosomal RNA", at positions 29 to 507 of the family's 1533-position model. The record is from RNAcentral.
AACGAACGCUGGCGGCAUGCCUAACACAUGCAAGUCGAACGAGACCUUCGGGUCUAGUGGCGCACGGGUGCGUAACGCGUGGGAACCUGCCCUUAGGUUCGGAAUAACUCCCCGAAAGGGGUGCUAAUACCGGAUAAUGUCUUCGGACCAAAGAUUUAUCGCCUUUGGAUGGGCCCGCGUUGGAUUAGCUAGUUGGUAGGGUAAAAGCCUACCAAGGCGACGAUCCAUAGCUGGUCUGAGAGGAUGAUCAGCCACACUGGGAAUGAGACACGGCCCAGACUCCUACGGGAGGCAGCAGUGGGGAAUAGUGGACAAUGGGCGAAAGCAUGAUCCAGCAAUGCCGCGUGAGUGAUGAAAGCCUUAGGGUUGUAAAGCUCUUUUACCCGGGAUGAUAAUGACAGUACCGGGAGAAUAAGCUCCGGCUAACUCCGUG